RNAcentral lists this ribosomal RNA (425 nucleotides) under uncultured bacterium. RNAcentral describes it as "bacterial SSU rRNA". It matches the Rfam family "Bacterial small subunit ribosomal RNA", at positions 29 to 507 of the family's 1533-position model. The record is from RNAcentral.
AUUAACGUUGGCAGUGCGCCUAACACAUGCAAGUCGAGCGAUAUAGCGGCAGACGAGAGAGUAAUAGUAAGGAAUUACCCCCGAGUGAAGGAUAGCCAGCCGAAAGGUUGGGUAAUCCUGCAUAAUAUCGAAAGAUCAAAGCCUUCGGGCGCUUGGGGAGAGGCCUUACUCCUAUCAGCUAGUUGGUGAGGUAAAAGGCUCACCAAGGCGAUGACGAGUAGCUGGUCUGAGAGGAUGAUCAGCCUCGAUGGGACUGAGACACGGCCCAUACUCCUACGGGAGGCAGCAGUUGGGGAUUUUGCACAAUGGAGGAAACUCUGAUGCAGCGACACUGCGUGAAGGAUGAAGGUUUUCGGAUCGUAAACUUCUUUUAGUGGGGAGUAAUCUUGAAAGUACCCACUGAAUAAGGACCGGCUAACUACGUG